This 89-nucleotide transfer RNA is filed under the name Ardenticatena maritima. RNAcentral's name for it is "filamentous thermophilic bacterium 110S tRNA". It matches the Rfam family "tRNA". Rfam says of the family: Transfer RNA (tRNA) molecules are approximately 80 nucleotides in length. Their secondary structure includes four short double-helical elements and three loops (D, anti-codon, and T loops). RNAcentral also lists the same sequence under 1 other name. The record is from Rfam by way of RNAcentral. Lineage: Bacteria; Bacillati; Chloroflexota; Ardenticatenia; Ardenticatenales; Ardenticatenaceae.
GGAGAGGUGCCGGAGCGGCCGAACGGGCACGAUUGGAAAUCGUGUAGGGUGGGAAACCGCCCUCGAGGGUUCGAAUCCCUCCCUCUCCG